RNA transcript from Prosopis cineraria, 2732 nucleotides. It is a transcript of the gene named QWRF motif-containing protein 2, with no coding region annotated. The transcript has 6 exons. The record is from RefSeq and is a predicted model, not a curated record. NCBI's taxonomy places the organism in Eukaryota, Viridiplantae, Streptophyta, Magnoliopsida, Fabales, Fabaceae.
AGAUUCACAAAAACCAAAAGCUCGCCUCGCCUGUGAAACACUUUGCGCUCUCAAAUCUCGUUUACCUACUCUCGCUUUCUCUCUUAAAUCCACACCCAGCACUACUUUCUUCUUCUCAGCUGUUCCGUUCCCCUGAAAUGCUGAAUCUUGUGCACGCCCAUUUCUGAAAUCCCCCUAACAUAGGACAAUUUCUUGAUCUUCUGCACGCACAAUCAGCCAUGGAUAAACGUGGGGUUCGGGAAUGAAACCUUUAAGAUUAGAGGCAAUGUGUGGAAAUUUCAGAGUCUUAUAAUGGUGGCUGCCAUUUCUGAAGCAGCUUCGACUGGCCCACUGAGCACCAAGGCUUCCUCGACCCACCAAAACCCAUCGAGGCCUCCACUAUUACCUUCAGAGAAAGACAAUGGGACUCUUCCGAGAAGACCCAAGGGUAGGCAGGUUUCUUCCAGGUACAUGUCUCCUUCUCCAUCGACUUCUACUUCCACUUCAACCUCUUCUUCGUCUUCAUCUAGGAGAUGCCCCUCUCCCCUCCUAUCACGUUCCAUCAAUUCCACACCCUCAUCGACCCCUUUACCCUCUACGGUGCCCAAGCGGUCCCAAUCAGUGGACCGUAGGCGACCGGCGACUCCGACAAGGCCUAUAACGCCUCUCCUACGGCAAGGUAAUUCCGGUGAUGUGUCGGUGGCUACGAAGCUUCUGGUCACUUCUACGCGGAGCUUGUCGGUUUCCUUCCAAGGGGAGGCGUUUUCGCUUCCGAUUAGUAAGACAAAGGCAGCGACACCCACUUCGAGUAAUGCCAGGAAGCCGGCAACGCCAGAGCGGCGGAGGUCGCCUGCAGUUAGAGGUAAGAUUGAUGGAGGAGGAGAUCAAGUCGAGAACUCGAGACCCAUGGAGCAACAUCGAUGGCCGGCUCGGGCCCGGCAGUCAAAUUCGAGUUCCAAUCACUUGUCAAGGAGCAUGGAUUUCAGUGGUGAUAAGAAGCUUGUUGGAAACGGGUUUGGAAAAGUGGUACGGGCGUUGCAGCAAUCAAUGAUUGGUGAUGGUAGAAGGGCAUCUUUUGAUGGGCGAUUGAGUUUGGAUUUAGGUAAAGAUGAGUCAUUGAAGGAUGCUCAGCGGAGCUCAGAUGUAAAUUCAGCAAAUGAUUCUUCGUUGCCUUCUGAUCUCACUGCAUCCGAUACAGACAGUGUUUCCUCUGGUAGCACUUCAGGAGCACAAGAUUGUGUUGGAGCUGGCAAGGGUCGACCUCGUGGCAUUGCUGUGUCUGCGAGGUUUUGGCAAGAGACUAAUAGUCGGCUGCGCCGUUUGCAGGAUCCUGGUUCACCAUUAUCAACAAGCCCUGCCUCAAGAGUGGCAGCUCCUUCAAAGGUUAUUCAAUCCAAGAAGUUCACUAGUGAUGGCCCGCUAUCAUCCCCCCGAACUAUGGCUUCCCCAAUUAGGGGAACUGCUCGUCCUGCAUCUCCAAGUAGACCGUGGGCAUCUACAGUCUCAUCACCAUCAAGGGGAAUCUCUAGUCCAUCUCGGGUGAGAAGUGCAGUUGCCAGCUCCAUCAAUAGUAAUUCUUCAAAUCCACCUUCAAUUCUUAGUUUUUCAGUUGAUAUCCGGAGGGGAAAGAUAGGGGAGGAUCGAAUAUUUGAUGCACACUCUUUACGGAUUCUGUAUAACCGAUAUGUGCAGUGGCGGUUUGCCAAUGCAAGGGCAGAUGCUACCUUUAUGGUGCAGAAACUAAAUGCGGAGAGGCAUUUAUGGAAUGCAUGGGUAACAAUAUCAGAACUUCGGCAUGCAGUCAUACUUAAACGAAUCAAGUUACUAUUGCUGAGGCAAAAGUUGAAGCUAACUUCCAUCCUGAAGGGACAAAUUCCUUAUUUGGAAGAGUGGGCCCUUCUUGAAAGAGAACACUCCAGUUCUUUGCUUGGAGCAACUGAAGCUUUGAAGGCCAGCACCCUCCGUCUUCCUGUUGUUGAAAAAGCAAUAGCCGAUGUACCAAAUCUGAAGGAUGCUGUGGGGACAGCAGUUGAUGUCAUGCAAGCAAUGUCAUCCUCAAUUUAUUCUCUUUCAUCGAAGGUAAACUUAGUUUCUUUUCUUCGCCUUUUCUUCCUAAUGUGCUCCUUCAGUACAGGGCAUGUGUUUCUAUCAAUUGUCAAUCUAAGAUGUGGAAAUCAGGUUAUGGCAAAGCUGAUUUUGUAUUGUGGAAGAAACUAACACCCUGAUGGCAGAACUUGUAAAGGUGACUGCAAAAGAAAGGCUUCUGCUUGAACAAUGCAAGGAUUUUUUGUCAUCUUUAGAAUCUAUGCAGGUCAGGGAUUGUACCUUGAGAACACAUAUAUUACAACUCUGUCGUGUUCGGACUGCCAGCUGCCGCCUGAUAACACGUGUGUACAACUGAUCUUUCUUGACUUCUCACUCUUACUGCUAACACUACCUACCCUGCUUUUUAACUUCCCACGGAUGAAGAUGACACAGAAGGUAACGAGAAUGGAAUACGGAGCUGAUAGCUAGCUGGAUUUUGAUUUUCUGUGUUGACAUAUUUUUGAACCUGAUGUGUUCUUGUUAAAUGUCGUGUAGUAUAUGUUGUGUAUGAAUAUGAUCACAGAAAAAGAAAAAAUGUGGCUUUUUUUGUUCUUUUUAUUUGACUAGGUAGCUGUAAGCAAUUCGCUUGGUUUAUGUAUAUGUAUAUAAUCAACUAACCAUUUGUUCAUCAGGUAAAUUUGUGGCUAAGAUCCUUCAUUUGAACACCA